UACUAAUGUUAGAGAUGGGUGUUUACUUGG
This 30-nucleotide non-coding RNA is filed under the name Mus musculus (house mouse). Lineage: Eukaryota; Metazoa; Chordata; Mammalia; Rodentia; Muridae. The record is from RNAcentral.